AGUUUGAUCCUGGCUCAGGACAAACGCUGGCGGCGUGCCUAACACAUGCAAGUCGAACGAAGCACUGUAAGAAGAGGACUUCGGUCCAAUGAUUACUUUGACUUAGUGGCGGACGGGUGAGUAAUGCAUGAGCAACCUGCCCUGGAGAGGGGGACAACAGCUGGAAACGGCUGCUAAUACCGCAUGAAGUUACCGGGGGGCAUCUUCUGGUAACCAAAGAUUUAUCGCUCUGGGAUGGGCUCAUGUCUGAUUAGAUAGUUGGCGGGGUAACGGCCCACCAAGUCGACGAUCAGUAGCCGGACUGAGAGGUUGAACGGCCACAUUGGGACUGAGAUACGGCCCAGACUCCUACGGGAGGCAGCAGUGGGGAAUAUUGGGCAAUGGGCGCAAGCCUGACCCAGCAACGCCGCGUGAAGGAAGAAGGCCUUCGGGUUGUAAACUUCUUUUAUCAGGGACGAAGGAAGUGACGGUACCUGAUGAAUAAGCCACGGCUAACUACGUGCC
RNAcentral lists this ribosomal RNA (504 nucleotides) under uncultured organism. RNAcentral's name for it is "SSU rRNA". It matches the Rfam family "Bacterial small subunit ribosomal RNA", at positions 10 to 509 of the family's 1533-position model. The record is from RNAcentral.